UAGGGAAUCUUCGGCAAUGGACGGAAGUCUGACCGAGCAACGCCGCGUGAGUGAAGAAGGUUUUCGGAUCGUAAAGCUCUGUUGUAAGAGAAGAACGAGUGUGAGAGUGGAAAGUUCACACUGUGACGGUAUCUUACCAGAAAGGGACGGCUAACUACGUGCCAGCAGCCGCGGUAAUACGUAGGUCCCGAGCGUUGUCCGGAUUUAUUGGGCGUAAAGCGAGCGCAGGCGGUUAGAUAAGUCUGAAGUUAAAGGCUGUGGCUUAACCAUAGUACGCUUUGGAAACUGUUUAACUUGAGUGCAAGAGGGGAGAGUGGAAUUCCAUGUGUAGCGGUGAAAUGCGUAGAUAUAUGGAGGAACACCGGCGGCGAAAGCGGCUCUCUGGCUUGUAACUGACGCUGAGGCUCGAAAGCGUGGGGAGCAAACAGGAUUAGAUACCCUGGUAGUCCACGCCGUAAACGAUGAGUGCUAGGUGUUAGACCCUUUCCGGGGUUUAGUGCCGCAGCUAACGCAUUAAGCACUCCGCCUGGGGAGUACGACCGCAAGGUUG
This 550-nucleotide ribosomal RNA is filed under the name uncultured bacterium. RNAcentral's name for it is "bacterial SSU rRNA". It matches the Rfam family "Bacterial small subunit ribosomal RNA", at positions 355 to 896 of the family's 1533-position model. The record is from RNAcentral.